AUGCUUGGGUGGGGGUCGCCAACCUGCAUCUUGGGGGUGGAAACGGGAUGUUUCCAAAGGGCUUUUCUAUGUCAGAGGAGACUCCCAGGUCCUGGGGUGGGGCUCGGGCUUGGAUCCCUGCUGCCCUCAGCAAAGCCUGAGCCCGGAGGCGACGGGGCUCCUACAGGAAGGGUAUCUGCAUGUUGCCAGGACGUGUCAGUGGGCUGUGAGCAGCGAGGAGGUCAGUGCUCCUUUUGCCUUGUCUCCCACAGGCCACGGAGGGCCGGCCGUGCGGAGGGCCGGGCGUGCACAAGGCCUGCCUGCAGGGGUGGCUCCCGCCCUGCUGCCGGGCCAGGCCCUUGGCGCCCUUCCCGACCUCUUCUGACAUCUCCCUUACAGGAAAAGCAGCACCAAGUCAUCUCUGCAGAGGAAGCUUCUUCCAGCCGUGGACAUACCUGCCGCCACUCACCUUCCAACACGACAAUUCUGCGACACCAGCAGGACACCACAGAUAAUGAAGACACAGCAUGUACAAAACUGGAAAGUUUUCGAUCUAUAGAUGCUGGGAACCUGGGAAUAUUUGUCAAAGAUUUAAUUACUGCUUUGCCCUAUUCAAAACAUUCAAUAAAUAAACGUGUCAUAUGGAUAUUUUUUCUCUGUAAAAACUCUUCAAUUCAUCCAUUUUCCUUAUUCUAGUGACCAUUUCUCUAUUCCGGGCUAUUAUCUCACCCCUGAAGCCAUACUCCUCUUAUUCUCCUGGAUGUCAGUUUUGACAUUUUCUUAUUAUCUGAUCAAAAUUUUUCAGAAAUGCUGUUUUAAAUGAUAUUUUUUUCUAUUUGAUUUCCACCCCCCCUACUUAGAACUCUUUAGUGUCUCUCAAGUUUACUCAGAAUAACAUGAAAACUUCUUAACAAGGCACAUGGAUACCUCCUCCCUCCAUCUAGCUUUUCCUGCCUUCCUGCCUUCUUUCCUCCUUUCCUUCCUGUCUUCCUGCCUUCCUUCUCCCUCCCUUCCUCCCUUCUUCCUCUCCCUUCUUUCUUUCAGCUAUAAUUGACACAUCUUCUUUAUCCAUCCAUCUGUUAAUGGACAUCUGAGCUCUUUCCAUCGUUUGGCUAUUGAGGACAUUGCUGCUAUAGACAUUGGGGUGCAGGUACCCAUUUGUAUCUUUGGGGUAAAUACCCAGUAGUGCAAUUGCUGGGUCAUGGGGUAUCUAUUUUCAACUUUUUGAGGAACCUCCACACAGUUUUCCACACUGGCUGCACCAGUUCACACCAACAGUUGUAUGAGGGUUCUCUUUUCUCUGCAUCCUCACCAACAUGUGUCCUUACCUGACUUGUUAAUUUUCCCCAUUCUCACUGGUGUCAGGUGGUAUCUCAUUGUGAUUUUGAUUUGUAUUUCCCUGAUGGCCAGUGAUGCGGAGCAUUUUUUUUUUCAUCUGUCGUUCGGCCAUUUGUAGGUCUGAAAAAGAACAGUUUUAUUUCUUCAUUUCCAAUCUAUAUGCCUUUUAGUUUUUUCUUUCCUUAUUACACUAGGAGAGCUAGUAUCACUGUUAGUAGUUGAUAUGUCUCCUAAGUCUCUCAUUUUUUUUAAAGAAAUUAACUUUUUUUAGAAUAGUUUUAGAUUUACAGAAAAGUUGUACAGAUAGCACAGUUUCCCCUGUUGUUAACGUCUUACAUUAAUGUGGUACAUUUGUUACAACUAAUGAAUCAACACUGAUACAUCAUUAAAGUCCAUACUUGAUUUACGUUUUCUUAGUUUUUACCUAAUGUUCUUUUUCUAUUCCAGGAUCCCAGUCAGGACAAAACAUUAU
RNAcentral lists this long non-coding RNA (1789 nucleotides) under Canis lupus familiaris (dog). RNAcentral describes it as "lncRNA (ENSCAFG00040018920.1)". The record is from RNAcentral. Lineage: Eukaryota; Metazoa; Chordata; Mammalia; Carnivora; Canidae.